This 492-nucleotide ribosomal RNA is filed under the name uncultured bacterium. RNAcentral describes it as "partial 16S ribosomal RNA". It matches the Rfam family "Bacterial small subunit ribosomal RNA", at positions 29 to 507 of the family's 1533-position model. The record is from RNAcentral.
AGUGAACGCUGGCGGUAGGCCUAACACAUGCAAGUCGAACGGCAGCACAGUAAGAGCUUGCUCUUACGGGUGGCGAGUGGCGGACGGGUGAGGAAUACAUCGGAAUCUACUUUUUCGUGGGUGAUAACGUAGGGAAACUUACGCUAAUACCUCAUACGUCCUACGGGUUAAAGCAGUGGAUCUUCGGACCUUUCGCGAUUGAAUGAGCCGAUGUCGGAUUAGCUAGUUGGCUGGGUAAAGGCCCACCAAGGCGACGAUCCGUAGCUGGUCUGAGAGGAUGAUCAGCCACACUGGAACUGAGACACGGUCCAGACUCCUACGGGAGGCAGCAGUAGGGAAUAUUGGACAAUGGGCGCAAGCCUGAUCCAGCCAUACCGCGUGAGUGAAGAAGGCCUUCGGGUUGUAAAGCCCUUUUGUUAGGAAAGAAAAGCAGCAGGUUAAUACCCCGCUGUUCUGACGGUACCCAAAGAAUAAGCACCGGCUAACUUCGUG